RNAcentral lists this ribosomal RNA (227 nucleotides) under uncultured bacterium. RNAcentral describes it as "partial 16S ribosomal RNA". It matches the Rfam family "Bacterial small subunit ribosomal RNA", at positions 118 to 347 of the family's 1533-position model. The record is from RNAcentral.
UGAGUAACCUGCCCUUGACUCUGGGAUAAGCGUUGGAAACGACGUCUAAUACCGGAUACGAGCUUCAGUCGCAUGACUAGGAGCUGGAAAGAAUUUCGGUCAAGGAUGGACUCGCGGCCUAUCAGCUAGUUGGUGAGGUAAUGGCUCACCAAGGCGACGACGGGUAGCUGGUCUGAGAGGAUGAUCAGCCACAUUGGGACUGAGACACGGCCCAAACUCUACGGGAG